UGGGGUGCUCUGCAGGAGCAGGCUCAUCCAGCUCAGCACACACUGGCAGCACAGCCCAGCUUUGGCUGUGCCCACUGCAAAUGGGUUCCCAGUCUCUUGGCUUUGAGCACUCCUCUCCUGCUCAGCUGCUGCCACCGUGGAGCUGAACUUCCCCUUGCUGCUGCAGCCAGAGCCUGUCACAGUGGCCACCAGGAGCCCUGCUGUGCAGGGUGGGCUCUGUGUGCCCCAGCCACUGUGCCAGCGUGACUUGGUGUGUCCUGGGAGCCUCCACCAGUGCUGGGCUGGCUUAGUUCUGCCCAGGGCCUCUGAUGGCCCAGGGCUGUGCCAGGAGCCCCCAGUGCCACAGGCUCAGCAUCCCAGUCCCCAGAGCCCUUCAUGGUGUCCCCAGUCUGAGCUCUGGGACAGCCACAGGCUCAGCACUGCUGCUGGCUGUCCUGGAGCUGUCCCCAGUCUGAGCUCCGGGACAGUCACAGGCUCAGCACUGCUGCUGGCUGCCCUGGAGCUGUCCCCAGCCUCUGCUCAGCCUGCUCUGCACACAGCCACCGCUUAUUGAUCGCUGUAAAAAUCUUUACAGAUUAACUUCUGGGAACAAAUAUGACAUCUUUAUGGAGAGGCAGAACAAGCUGCUUUAGCAUUCGGGUGGCUGCUCUGCUGCACAGGGACAUCUGUUUGCAGCAGGACAGCAGAGCAGAUGAUCUGUCAGCGCUCAGGGCGCGUCCUGCCAGGCACAGGUAGCCUUGCCAUCCCUGCAGCUGCACCAGCUGCACUCCACCCUUGGUGCUGUGCCAGCUCCUGGUGUGUGCUGUGAAACCAGCCAGGUCUUCACUGUGCUCAGCCUCCAGCAGAAAGCAGAAAGCAGGUAGGGCAGAGGCUUGGAGGGAGCAGCUGGCAGCUGCUGAGUGCAUCCCAGUGCUUGGGUUAACUCCUUUCCACAGGCAGGGAGAGCUUUUCUCGUGGGCACGAUGGCAGAGCCCCCCUGGGGCAGGGGGCUCUGGUUCCCAGGGUACAGGCACCACGGUGCAGGACAGAGGAGUCCCCAGGGUUAUUGUGCUGCAGGAGGAAACCUGCAGCAAAGAAAGAGCUCCUGGUGCAAAGGGCAGCCUGUGCAGGGCAGCACACUGUGUGAGUGAAGGCACCUUUACCCAGAGCACUGAAUCAUCAUUAGGAGUCACUCGAUGAUUUAUGUCAGGAGGAACAAGUCACACACUGGGUCAUGCUGCUCGUUUCACUAGCCAGCAUUUGUGCAUUCCCUCUGGGACAUUUGCCAGGGAUCUCUGAUCCUUCUCCUGCUGUGGAGUUUCUCCCUUUCCCUGGGAUGGCAAUUCCCUGAUUAACACUGUUUGCUUUCAGAAAACUUUCUCCAGUAUUCAGUCUGUGUUUCCCUUAUGUUAAUUUCUUGCCUUUACAGCACCUGAUUAAUAACUCUGUUUAUGCCACUAGAAUAUUUGCAGGUCAUUGCCAUUGAUGCGGAGACACUCAAUAAAAGAGAGAUGUCUGUAGAUCUAAUUGCUUAAUGAAGAGAUGAAGAACAUUCUCUGCUGCCCUGGGUUCUGCAGGGCCAGUAAAUGUUUCUGUGGUCUGAGCGUGCUGCAGUGAUGAUCCCCUGGCUGGCUCCAGCUUUCUGGUCACCCCUGAGUCUCCUGCAGGCUCCUUGUCCCAGGGAGCGCUGCUUCCACGAUGCAAUCCUAAAGCGGGACGGGGUUUCUGUAC
Molecule: long non-coding RNA, 1710 nt
Filed under: Ficedula albicollis (Collared flycatcher)
Lineage: Eukaryota; Metazoa; Chordata; Aves; Passeriformes; Muscicapidae
Description: lncRNA (ENSFALG00000023129.1)
Source: RNAcentral